This 522-nucleotide ribosomal RNA is filed under the name uncultured bacterium. RNAcentral's name for it is "bacterial SSU rRNA". It matches the Rfam family "Archaeal small subunit ribosomal RNA", at positions 345 to 866 of the family's 1478-position model. The record is from RNAcentral.
AACCUCCGCAAUGUGAGAAAUCGCGACGGGGGGAUCCCAAGUGCCAUUCUUAACGGGAUGGCUUUUCAUUAGUGUAAAGAGCUUUUUGGAAUAAGGGCUGGGCAAGACCGGUGCCAGCCGCCGCGGUAACACCGGCAGCUCUAGUGGUAGCAGUUUUUAUUGGGCCUAAAGCGUCCGUAGCCGGUUUAAUAAGUCUCUGGUGAAAUCCUGUAGCUUAACUGUGGGAAUUGCUGGAGAUACUAUUAGACUUGAGACCGGGAGAGGUUAGAGGUACUCCCAGGGUAGAGGUGAAAUUCUGUAAUCCUGGGAGGACCGCCUGUUGCGAAGGCGUCUAACUGGAACGGUUCUGACGGUGAGGGACGAAAGUUAGGGGCGCGAACCGGAUUAGAUACCCGGGUAGUCCUAACUGUAAACGAUGCGGACUUGGUGUUGGGGUGGCUUUGAGCUGCUCCAGUGCCGAAGGGAAGCUGUUAAGUCCGCCGCCUGGGAAGUACGGUCGCAAGACUGAAACUUAAAGGAAUU